RNAcentral lists this long non-coding RNA (2197 nucleotides) under Chlamydomonas reinhardtii. RNAcentral's name for it is "long non-coding RNA (CREI_LNC000952)". The record is from RNAcentral. Lineage: Eukaryota; Viridiplantae; Chlorophyta; Chlorophyceae; Chlamydomonadales; Chlamydomonadaceae.
CUCGCGGUUGCUUUGGGGUUGACGUUGCUUGCCUCGCGCCUAGCGCCAUAGCUUCUACGCUGCAGUGCAUCACGCCUCCUGUCCCUUCCUCCCUCCCUCCCUUACAUGUCGUGCUGGGCACCGGUGGCGCUGGUGUUCUCCAGGUUGGUUUCGGGCGCAUCCUUUCUGGUAGUCCCAACGCCAGCCCGGCCGGCGUCGUCCAGCCCAGCCAUCCCAAUACAGCAGCCACCUUCCGUCAGCCAGCCAUGGGCGCGACCGUCCACAGCGUUUACCGUCGGUUACGAGGUAACAUGUGAAUUCGCAACUUGCGCUACUGACUGCCUGCUCUCGUGCCGCCUGCAAGCCCACUCCGCCUUCCGCUCUGGUCUACGUACGCAUUAGUUCCGCAACACUCGUCAAUAACAGGACAGUACAGGGAUAAUCGCCCCUGGGCCCCGGCAAGUUCACGCUGGUAUCUGUUGCCCAGUGGCAGGGACCUACUUGAGGUCCCGUCUUCAAGUGUUUGGCAAGGGCGAGCCUCCCGCUUGCGGGUGCAGCCACCAUUCACGCGGUAGCGCAUGCGCCCGCAUCGCCACUUCCUCGGCAACUUCUUCUACUGGUUCACUACAUGGCUGCGCGCUAUUUUUAACGUCCACUUAUCCGUUCUCGAUCAGACAGCAAUUGCAGCCUGCAUCCUACUGCCUUAGACGACAACACACACUCGUUUCGUCCGCGCUCGCCGUUCCGCCUUCCAUGUAGUGCUCUGGGUGUCAGUCAGCCUGAUCCUUUUACCUACUUGUGUCUAUCCGGGCAUCAGCAUGGCUAACAGCAAACGGCGCCGCGUGGGGGUCACCGAGGCAUCCGGCAUCGCGGAGCAGGUCAUCGCGCUCCAUCGCCGCCCGCGCACGCUUCGCCCCCGGCGGACAUGCCGCCCUCUGCGACAACCCGCGGGGUCAUCUACGCCGCCCCCGCGGCCGCAUCGGCUACGUUAUUGGUGAUUACUUGGUUUACUCCUGGGUUCUGUCUACUUGGUUUUUGGUUCAUGUGCCGCCGCCCCCGCGGCCGCCUUGGCGACGACGUGCCGCCGCCCCCGCGGCCGCAUCGGCUACAUUCCGCCGCCCCCGCGGCCGCCCUGGCGCUGCGCCGCCGCCCCCGCGGCCGCCCUGGUUCUGCGCCGCCGCCCCCGCGGCAGCCCUGGCUACGUGCCGCCGCCCCCACGGCCGCCCUGGCUACGUGCCGCCGCCCCCGCGGCCGCCUUGGUCACGUGCCGCCGCCCCCAUGGCGGCGCGUCGCCAUCGCGUCAUCCCAAAAGGAGUAUUCGUUGCGGGCGUGCGCGGCGGCGGCCUCCCAACCCAUACACAGCCCUCGGAGAUGACGCCACCGNNNNNNNNNNNNNNNNNNNNNNNNNNNNNNNNNNNNNNNNNNNNNNNNNNNNNNNNNNNNNNNNNNNNNNNNNNNNNNNNNNNNNNNNNNNNNNNNNNNNCACGGCAUGCACCGCACGCGCCCAUGCCGACCGCAGUGCGACCGGGAUGAGCCAUGCAGCGAUCGCGCUGUCGUUACUUCCUCGGCCGCCCGGCGCCCUUGCUCAUUUAUUUAACCGCAUCCAUCACGUCCCCGUACUUAGUGUUCUUCGUUUAGUCACCCCGCGCAGCGCACAGCCAUAACAGCCACAGCCUGCAGCCCGGCUUGCGCACCAUGUCCUCGCGGUUGCUUUGGGGUUGACGUUGCUUGCCUCGCGCCUAGCGCCAUAGCUUCUACGCUGCAGUGCAUCACGCCUCCUGUCCCUUCCUCCCUCCCUCCCUUACAUGUCGUGCUGGGCACCGGUGGCGCUGGUGUUCUCCAGGUUGGUUUCGGGCGCAUCCUUUCUGGUAGUCCCAACGCCAGCCCGGCCGGCGUCGUCCAGCCCAGCCAUCCCAAUACAGCAGCCACCUUCCGUCAGCCAGCCAUGGGCGCGACCGUCCACAGCGUUUACCGUCGGUUACGAGGUAACAUGUGAAUUCGCAACUUGCGCUACUGACUGCCUGCUCUCGUGCCGCCUGCAAGCCCACUCCGCCUUCCGCUCUGGUCUACGUACGCAUUAGUUCCGCAACACUCGUCAAUAACCAAGACAACCGGUUGCAGGCCAUACAGCACUUGAGGGCAUCGGUAGCCCAGCGCUAGCCUACUUGCGUCCCUGUCUGCCCAUCAGCGGUGCCGUGUCUCUGCCUCCCCAUCCGCG